AUCUGAGCUAACACAACAAAGCCAAAGCAUGGUUUUAUCUAUCACUGGGCUUCUGAACAGUUGGAAAUUCCUUUGAAUAAGGAGUGUACGUGUACAUAAAAUACCCUCUAGAGGUUCUAGCCCCUGUGGCAAAGUUUAACAGAUUCCCAAGGCUCUCUGCAAAGGAUUUAACUGCACCAAAGUGCUUUGCCCUCAUCAAUCAGCAAACAGGCAUUCUGUGCAAACACAUGGGUGUACCCACACUUUGGAGUGAAGUUCAGAGUCCUUGUUUGGCUUUGAGGUGGCUGAUAUGUCACUACAGGCCUUGUUAGCUCCACUAACAAACAGUACAGCUGUGUUAGCCUGAUGCUAUUCCUCAGCUAAUGUGUCCCGUCUCACAGCAGAGCUGUCUAGGCUGGCUGCAGUUUAACUUGCCUGCCAUAGCUCUCUUCCUAGAGGAGCUCUAGCUGAUUAGGUUAUAUAUUCCCAAGUAUCUCUUGAACUAUGUGCACCCAUGAAUACACAUGUACCAAAGCAAGUAUAGCUUAUGCUCCUGUUUUUAACAGGGAUACUUUCUCAGAAAUAGUAAGUAUGAAUAUCUU
Molecule: non-coding RNA, 581 nt
Organism: Anas platyrhynchos (mallard)
Lineage: Eukaryota; Metazoa; Chordata; Aves; Anseriformes; Anatidae
Source: RefSeq, a predicted model, not a curated record